RNAcentral lists this long non-coding RNA (285 nucleotides) under Anas platyrhynchos platyrhynchos (common mallard). Its description in RNAcentral is "lncRNA (ENSAPLG00000023687.1)". Lineage: Eukaryota; Metazoa; Chordata; Aves; Anseriformes; Anatidae. The record is from RNAcentral.
GGACAGCAGUGACCACUCCAUCAGGACGACGGGACACGGACAGCCUUGAACUCAGCUGGAAGGGAGAGCUGCCAACGCUCUCCAGGACAGGUAAGAUCACCCCAACCCACACCCACCAGGCUCUAACAGCAAGCCGGAAGGUGACACGAUCCGGCGGGGACACCAGGGACCGCUCCGUCAGGAUGACAGGAGACAGACGGAUGUGGUGAGAUGCUCAAAACCCUCGGGCACAGAGGCAGGGGCUGCCCGUGGUCACACGGGGAUGCUGCUCUGUUGUUCCUUCUC